GGGCUGCAGUGGGGAAUAUUGGACAAUGGGCGAAAGCCUGAUCCAGCCACGCCGCGUGUGUGAUGAAGGUCUUCGGAUCGUAAAGCACUGUGGAGAGGGACGAAACGCAACGGGAACAAUACCUCGUUGAAUUGACGGUACCUCUUUAGCAAGCACCGGCUAACUCCGUGCCAGCAGCCGCGGUAAUACGGAGGGUGCAAACGUUGCUCGGAAUCAUUGGGCGUAAAGCGCGUGUAGGCGGCAAGAUAAGUCGAGUGUGAAAGCCCUGGGCUUAACCCAGGAAGUGCGCUCGAAACUGUCUAGCUUGAGUACGGGAGAGGGUAGCGGAAUUCCCGGUGUAGAGGUGAAAUUCGUAGAUAUCGGGAGGAACACCAGUGGCGAAGGCGGUUACCUGGACCGAUACUGACGCUGAGACGCGAAAGCGUGGGUAGCAAACAGGAUUAGAUACCCCUGUAGUC
Molecule: ribosomal RNA, 458 nt
Filed under: uncultured Myxococcales bacterium
Lineage: Bacteria; Pseudomonadati; Myxococcota; Myxococcia; Myxococcales
Description: bacterial SSU rRNA
Rfam family: Bacterial small subunit ribosomal RNA
Source: RNAcentral